This 465-nucleotide ribosomal RNA is filed under the name uncultured bacterium. Its description in RNAcentral is "partial 16S ribosomal RNA". It matches the Rfam family "Bacterial small subunit ribosomal RNA", at positions 339 to 795 of the family's 1533-position model. The record is from RNAcentral.
CUACGGGUCGCACCAGUGGGGAAUAUUGGACAAUGGGGGAAACCCUGAUCCAGCAAUGCCGCGUGUGUGAAGAAGGCCUGCGGGUUGUAAAGCACUUUCGGUUGGGAGGACUGCUUCCAGCACUAAUAUUGUUGGAAGUUGACGUUACCUUCAGAAGAAGCACCGGCUAACUCCGUGCCAGCAGCCGCGGUAAUACGGAAGGUGCAAGCGUUAAUCGGAAUUACUGGGCGUAAAGCGCGCGUAGGCGGCUAGAUCAGUCGGGUGUGAAAGCCCCGGGCUUAACCUGGGAACUGCAUCCGAUACUGUCUAGCUUGAGUACAGGAGGGGAGAGUGGAAUUCCACAUGUAGCGGUGAAAUGCGUAGAUAUGUGGAGGAACACCAAUGGCGAAGGCAGCUCUCUGGCCUGAUACUGACGCUGAGGUGCGAAAGCGUGGGGAGCAAACAGGAUUAGAUACCCUCGUAGUC